UUCAAAUGAAGCACAGAUUAAAUCCUACGAAAGAGACAAGAGGGCAACAUGGCAAAAUAUCGCGUGAACUAACUUGCUCAAAAGCUAAAACUAAUUGCGCGGAAAAAUCCUAUGCAUUUUUCUACCCCGGAAACAUAUAAAACAUGUGGGGUUGCAACACAAAAAAUAUUCCCACACGAGAAUGCGAGAUAUAAACCUAAACACGAAAAAUAAAC
Molecule: long non-coding RNA, 215 nt
Filed under: Hordeum vulgare
Lineage: Eukaryota; Viridiplantae; Streptophyta; Magnoliopsida; Poales; Poaceae
Description: long non-coding RNA (HVUL_LNC016100)
Source: RNAcentral